Molecule: long non-coding RNA, 258 nt
Filed under: Setaria italica (foxtail millet)
Lineage: Eukaryota; Viridiplantae; Streptophyta; Magnoliopsida; Poales; Poaceae
Description: long non-coding RNA (SITA_LNC001975)
Source: RNAcentral
ACUUGACAACGGGAGAUUUUAUAUUGCAUGAGUUUAUACUACGAUGCUCAACAGCGAUCAAGUGCAUUCAUAACCGAGAAUUGCGGCGAUCCGGAUCUAAUUACAUCCUGCAGGAGAGUACCCUGAUCACCAGCAUUAUACGACUGUCCAGGUCGUACUAACAACCUCUCAAUUAGCAAAGUCAAUGAUUAGGAAUACAACUACCCGGACCCAGGGAUGCACCCCCACAUGGGACCCCACGUCUGGCCUGAUCUCCAU